AUUGAACGCUCGCGGGAGGCCUAACACAUGCAAGUCGAACGAGUGGCGGACGGGUGAGUAAUAUCUUGGAAACUGCCCAGUAGAGGGGGAUAACUACUCGAAAGAGUGGCUAAUACCGCAUACUAUCGGAUCGGCCGAUAUGGGAUUAGCUAGUUGGUGGGGUAAAGGCUCACCAAGGCGACGAUCCGUAGCUGGUUUGAGAGGACGACCAGCCACACUGGAACUGUGACACGGCCCAGACUCCUGCGGGAGGCAGCAGUGGGAAAUAUUGCACGAUGGGGGCAACCCUGGUCCAGCCGUGCCGCGUGUAUGAGAAGGCCUUCGGGUUGUAAAGUACUUUGGGCAGGGAAGCGGUAUCUGCAGAAGAAGCACCGGCUAACUCCGUGGCAGCAGCCGCGGUAAUAC
Molecule: ribosomal RNA, 405 nt
Filed under: uncultured bacterium
Lineage: Bacteria
Description: partial 16S ribosomal RNA
Rfam family: Bacterial small subunit ribosomal RNA
Source: RNAcentral